RNAcentral lists this ribosomal RNA (791 nucleotides) under uncultured bacterium. RNAcentral describes it as "bacterial SSU rRNA". It matches the Rfam family "Bacterial small subunit ribosomal RNA", at positions 68 to 867 of the family's 1533-position model. The record is from RNAcentral.
UUGAUUUGAUUCUUCGGAUGAAGAUCUUGGUGACUGAGUGGCGGACGGGUGAGUAACGCGUGGGUAACCUGCCUCAUACAGGGGGAUAACAGUUAGAAAUGACUGCUAAUACCGCAUAAGACCACAGCACCGCAUGGUGCAGGGGUAAAAACUCCGGUGGUAUGAGAUGGACCCGCGUCUGAUUAGGUAGUUGGUGGGGUAACGGCCUACCAAGCCGACGAUCAGUAGCCGACCUGAGAGGGUGACCGGCCACAUUGGGACUGAGACACGGCCCAAACUCCUACGGGAGGCAGCAGUGGGGAAUAUUGCACAAUGGGGGAAACCCUGAUGCAGCGACGCCGCGUGAGCGAUGAAGUAUUUCGGUAUGUAAAGCUCUAUCAGCAGGGAAGAAAAUGACGGUACCUGACUAAGAAGCACCGGCUAAAUACGUGCCAGCAGCCGCGGUAAUACGUAUGGUGCAAGCGUUAUCCGGAUUUACUGGGUGUAAAGGGAGCGUAGACGGAGUGGCAAGUCUGAUGUGAAAACCCGGGGCUCAACCCCGGGACUGCAUUGGAAACUGUCAAUCUAGAGUACCGGAGAGGUAAGCGGAAUUCCUAGUGUAGCGGUGAAAUGCGUAGAUAUUAGGAGGAACACCAGUGGCGAAGGCGGCUUACUGGACGGUAACUGACGUUGAGGCUCGAAAGCGUGGGGAGCAAACAGGAUUAGAUACCCUGGUAGUCCACGCCGUANACGAUGACUACUAGGUGUCGGGCAGCAAAGCUGUNCGGUGCCGCAGCAAACGCAAUAAGUAG